Non-coding RNA from Paramuricea clavata, 266 nucleotides. NCBI's taxonomy places the organism in Eukaryota, Metazoa, Cnidaria, Anthozoa, Malacalcyonacea, Plexauridae. The record is from the annotation of a GenBank genome assembly.
GACGUCGAUAUUCGACGUUAUAAACACGAUCAACUUCGGUGUUUAUGUCAUAAACACGAUCAACUUUGGUGUUUAUGGCGUCGAUAUUCGACGUCAUAAACACGAACAACUUUGGUGUUUAUGGCGUCGAUAUUCGACGUCAUAAACACCAUCAACUUUGGUGUUUAUGGCGUCGAUAUUCGACGUCAUAAACACUAUCAACUUUGGUGUUAUCGACGUCAUAAACACGAUCAACUUUGGUGUUUAUGACGUUGAUAUUCAACGUC